This 84-nucleotide transfer RNA is filed under the name Puccinia triticina 1-1 BBBD Race 1. Its description in RNAcentral is "Puccinia triticina tRNA PTTG_20423". It matches the Rfam family "tRNA". Rfam says of the family: Transfer RNA (tRNA) molecules are approximately 80 nucleotides in length. Their secondary structure includes four short double-helical elements and three loops (D, anti-codon, and T loops). The record is from RNAcentral. Lineage: Eukaryota; Fungi; Basidiomycota; Pucciniomycetes; Pucciniales; Pucciniaceae.
UCCGAAUUAGUAUAUCGGCUAGUAUGACCGCCUCUCAUCGCUGUGGGUGCGCGGUAGAGACGGGUUCGAUUCCCGUAUUCGGAA